CAGCCAUACCACUUUGAAAUACCGGUUCUCGUACAAUUCAGCGAAGUUAAGCAACGUCAAGUCUGGUCAGUAUUUAGAUGGGUGACCGCUUGGAAAUGCCAGGUUCUGCAAG
This is a non-coding RNA of Acanthosepion pharaonis, 112 nucleotides long. NCBI's taxonomy places the organism in Eukaryota, Metazoa, Mollusca, Cephalopoda, Sepiida, Sepiidae. The record is from the annotation of a GenBank genome assembly.